GUUCAGGGUGGUACCACCCUGAACACGCCCGAUCUCGUCUGAUCUCGGAAGCUAAGCAGGGUCGGGCCUGGUCAGUACUUGGAUGGGAGACCGCCUGGGAAUACCAGGUGCUGUAAGCU
RNAcentral lists this ribosomal RNA (119 nucleotides) under Oreochromis aureus. Lineage: Eukaryota; Metazoa; Chordata; Actinopteri; Cichliformes; Cichlidae. The record is from RNAcentral.